This 25-nucleotide non-coding RNA is filed under the name Cricetulus griseus (Chinese hamster). The record is from RNAcentral. Lineage: Eukaryota; Metazoa; Chordata; Mammalia; Rodentia; Cricetidae.
AAACGCUAAAGCGGCUUGUUAGGAC